RNAcentral lists this ribosomal RNA (1553 nucleotides) under Triticum aestivum (bread wheat). RNAcentral's name for it is "partial small subunit ribosomal RNA". Lineage: Eukaryota; Viridiplantae; Streptophyta; Magnoliopsida; Poales; Poaceae. The record is from RNAcentral.
GGAGAGAGGGCGUGUGGAGAGAGAGAGCGGAUUGGUUGGAGAGCUGGUACGGGACGGCGGCGAGGUUGGAGAGCCGGGGCGGCGGCGGGGAAGAGCCGGAGCGGCGGCGGGGAAGUGCGGCCGCCGGUGCCGGGGCUGCCCGCGUCGUCGUGUGGGGGCUACCAGCUCGCCGUGGAGGCGGCGUCCCCCCGGCCCGGCGUCGUCGUGCGGGUGAGGCGAGGUUGGAGAGCCGGGACGGCGGCGAGUGGGGCGGCGGCGGGGAAGAGCCGGAGCGGCGGCGGGGAAGUGCGGCCGAGUGUCGGACUUGCCUCGGGGUCAACCGAGCGGGAACGAGAGGUGGACACCGCGGCCACCGCACACGCGUUGCCUACUCCGGGGCGUGAGCGCGGCGCCGUCACGCCUACCUCGAGGCGGCUCAGGUACUCGAGGGCUCGGCCCGCUGCCGCGCAUAACUAGACUUUUUCCGGUGGUUGGGUAUAAUAUUAUAGGAAACUAUAGUUCAAGAUCGACAUGUAAUUGGUUUCGUAGAGAAAAGACUAGUCAAUAUGUAGUUAGUUUCGUAGUGAAAAGACUAGUUAAUUCCUUUUGUACAGUCCUACCAACUACGAACUACGUUGCCCUCAGUGUACACAUAACGGCUGUCAAAGUUAAAUUAGCCCGAAGGCUGACCUCCUUGUCUUCGCUGAGAGAUAAGAGGUCGGUAAUUCAAGUAAUGACUUAUUGUUUUAGUCGAAGUCUGGAUUCCAAACUAGUCCUUUUAAGUCGAUCCAGAUAGAUACAUGUAACCAGAAUUAAAAAAAUCUACUCGUUUGACAGAUGAAGGUAUCCUUCACCUACCCUACUAGAUGUACCGGAGGACGUCGUGGCCUAAGUUCCUUAGUCAUGUUGUCACACCGGAGAAUGAUCUGUCAAAAGAAGAGAGACAAAAGUUCUUACGAUCUGUGAAAAGUCAAAAGAAACUACAACUAGUUUUAUAAAUUUAUAAACCUACGCAAAAGAACUUAUGUCCAGACUAGAAACUAAUAGACGUAUCAUAUAGAUUGGUGAGACUGAAAGGAAAUAAUAGUUCUACGUAGUUUGGCGGUAGGGGAGGCUCUCCUUCCGGUUGAGUUGUAGGUACAUGUUCUUAAAGACAUUACAUCAAUACACUUGAUCUCCACACCAAAUCGUUACAUGGAGUAUGUGACGACCAACUACUGUUUCUAUACAGUCUCUACCUCCUGGAGCAUUGGCUGGUACAACCCUCGAACACUUCUUUAUCAUACAACGACAUACCUCCUUAGGAAAUUUAUUGAGUACGAUAAAAGCAAAGUCUACGUUGGAAGUUGAUGUCUUCAAAGUCAAAGGACUAACGGCCAAAGAAGAAACGCUCAGAAGGAAAAAGAAUACAAGUGUUCCACAUGGUAACAGAUAUCAUAAACGGUUCAAAUUAGCUUACAGAUCUAUUUUACAAAACGUACCGUCCUUUAUUCGUUCAUCCAUAAACUUCCACUUGAAACAUACUUAGGAGGCCGAGGGCGGAUGGGUAAGAAGUUACUCAAUCAUAGGAGUUC